AGCGAACGCUGGCGGCAGGCCUAACACAUGCAGGUCGAACGAAGCCUUCGGGCUUAGUGGCGGACGGGUGAGUAACACGUGGGAACGUACCUUUUGGGUCGGAACAACUCAGGGAAACUUGAGCUAAUACAGGAUGAGCCCUUAGGGGGAAAGAUUUAUCGCCGAAAGAGCGGCCCGCGUUAGAUUAGCCAGUUGGUGAGGUAAAGGCUCACCAAGGCUACGAUCUAUAGCUGGUCUGAGAGGAUGAUCAGCCACACUGGGACUGCAGACACGGCCCAGACUCCUACGGGGGGCAGCAGUGGGGAAUCUUGCGCAAUGGGCGAAAGCCUGACGCAGCCAUGCCGCGUGAAUGAUGAAGGUCUUAGGAUUGUAAAAUUCUUUUACCAGGGACGAUAAUGACGGUACCUGGAGAAAAAGCCCCGGCUAACUUCGUGCCAGCCGCCGCAGUAA
This 450-nucleotide ribosomal RNA is filed under the name uncultured bacterium. Its description in RNAcentral is "partial 16S ribosomal RNA". It matches the Rfam family "Bacterial small subunit ribosomal RNA", at positions 29 to 523 of the family's 1533-position model. The record is from RNAcentral.